Molecule: ribosomal RNA, 253 nt
Filed under: uncultured bacterium
Lineage: Bacteria
Description: partial 16S ribosomal RNA
Rfam family: Bacterial small subunit ribosomal RNA
Source: RNAcentral
GACAGGGGUGGCAAGCGUUGUUCGGAGUGACUGGGCGUAAAGGGUCUGUAGGUGGUUUUUCAAGUCCUUGGUAAAAAGCUGUGGCUCAACCACAGUGCGGCCAAGGAGACUGGGAGACUCGAGGCUGGGAGAGGGAAGCGGAAUUUCUGGUGUAGCGGUGAAAUGCGUAGAGAUCAGAAAGAAGGCCGGUGGCGAAGGCGGCUUCCUGGAACAGACCUGACACUGAGAGACGAAAGCGUGGGGAGCAAACAGG